This 399-nucleotide ribosomal RNA is filed under the name Brevibacillus laterosporus. Its description in RNAcentral is "bacterial SSU rRNA". It matches the Rfam family "Bacterial small subunit ribosomal RNA", at positions 1 to 402 of the family's 1533-position model. The record is from RNAcentral. Lineage: Bacteria; Bacillati; Bacillota; Bacilli; Caryophanales; Paenibacillaceae.
UUAAUGGAGAGUUUGAUCCUGGCUCAGGACGAACGCUGGCGGCGUGCCUAAUACAUGCAAGUCGAGCGAGGGUCUUCGGACCCUAGCGGCGGACGGGUGAGUAACACGUAGGCAACCUGCCUGUGAGACUGGGAUAACAUAGGGAAACUUAUGCUAAUACCGGAUAGGGUUUUGCUUCACCUGAAGCGAAACGGAAAGAUGGCGCAAGCUAUCACUUACAGAUGGGCCUGCGGCGCAUUAGCUAGUUGGUGAGGUAACGGCUCACCAAGGCGACGAUGCGUAGCCGACCUGAGAGGGUGACCGGCCACACUGGGACUGAGACACGGCCCAGACUCCUACGGGAGGCAGCAGUAGGGAAUUUUCCACAAUGGACGAAAGUCUGAUGGAGCAACGCCGCGU